RNAcentral lists this ribosomal RNA (302 nucleotides) under uncultured bacterium. Its description in RNAcentral is "partial 16S ribosomal RNA". It matches the Rfam family "Bacterial small subunit ribosomal RNA", at positions 508 to 807 of the family's 1533-position model. The record is from RNAcentral.
GCAGUAGCCACGGUAAUACAGAGGGUGCGAGCGUUAAUCGGAUUUACUGGGCGUAAAGCGUGCGUAGGCGGCUAAUUGAGUCGGAUGUGAAAUCCCCGAGCUUAACUUGGGAAUUGCAUUCGAUACUGGUUAGCUAGAGUGUGGGAGAGGAUGGUAGAAUUCCAGGUGUAGCGGUGAAAUGCGUAGAGAUCUGGAGGAAUACCGAUGGCGAAGGCAGCCAUCUGGCCUAACACUGACGCUGAGGUACGAAAGCAUGGGGAGCAAACAGGAUUAGAUACCCCCGUAGUCCCUGUCUCUUAUAC